This 335-nucleotide ribosomal RNA is filed under the name Salmonella enterica subsp. enterica serovar Mississippi. RNAcentral describes it as "partial 23S ribosomal RNA". It matches the Rfam family "Bacterial large subunit ribosomal RNA", at positions 187 to 560 of the family's 2925-position model. The record is from RNAcentral. Lineage: Bacteria; Pseudomonadati; Pseudomonadota; Gammaproteobacteria; Enterobacterales; Enterobacteriaceae.
GGGGAACUGAAACAUCUAAGUACCCCGAGGAAAAGAAAUCAACCGAGAUUCCCCCAGUAGCGGCGAGCGAACGGGGAGGAGCCCAGAGCCUGAAUCAGCAUGUGUGUUAGUGGAAGCGUCUGGAAAGGCGCGCGAUACAGGGUGACAGCCCCGUACACAAAAGCGCAUGUGCUGUGAGCUCGAUGAGUAGGGCGGGACACGUGGUAUCCUGUCUGAAUAUGGGGGGACCAUCCUCCAAGGCUAAAUACUCCUGACUGACCGAUAGUGAACCAGUACCGUGAGGGAAAGGCGAAAAGAACCCCGGCGAGGGGAGUGAAAAAGAACCUGAAACCGUG